Molecule: ribosomal RNA, 200 nt
Filed under: uncultured bacterium
Lineage: Bacteria
Description: partial 16S ribosomal RNA
Rfam family: Bacterial small subunit ribosomal RNA
Source: RNAcentral
AGUGAACGCUGGCGGUAGGCCUAACACAUGAAAGUCGAACGGCAGCACAGCAGUAGCAAUACUGUGGGUGGCGAGUGGCGGACGGGUGAGGAAUACAUCGGAAUCUACCUUUUCGUGGGGGAUAACGUAGGGAAACUUACGCUAAUACCGCAUAAGACCUUCGGGUGAAAGUGGGGGACCUUCGGGCCUCACGCGGAUAG